Molecule: microRNA precursor, 85 nt
Organism: Cercocebus atys (sooty mangabey)
Lineage: Eukaryota; Metazoa; Chordata; Mammalia; Primates; Cercopithecidae
Source: Ensembl
GGGGAGGUAGGGAAAAGGAAGGGGGAGGAGAAGGUGAGACCAGUGUCCUGGGUGCUACUCCUGCCCAGUGCCUCCCUUCCUCGUU